This 257-nucleotide ribosomal RNA is filed under the name uncultured Pseudomonas sp. RNAcentral describes it as "partial 16S ribosomal RNA". It matches the Rfam family "Bacterial small subunit ribosomal RNA", at positions 96 to 355 of the family's 1533-position model. Lineage: Bacteria; Pseudomonadati; Pseudomonadota; Gammaproteobacteria; Pseudomonadales; Pseudomonadaceae. The record is from RNAcentral.
CGGCGGACGGGUGAGUAAUGCCUAGGAAUCUGCCUGGUAGUGGGGGACAACGUUUCGAAAGGAACGCUAAUACCGCAUACGUCCUACGGGAGAAAGCAGGGGACCUUCGGGCCUUGCGCUAUCAGAUAAGCCUAGGUCGGAUUAGCUAGUUGGUGAGGUAAUGGCUCACCAAGGCGACGAUCCGUAACUGGUCUGAGAGGAUGAUCAGUCACACUGGAACUGAGACACGGUCCAGACUCCUACGGGAGGCAGCAGUC